UCAGAUCGGAGAAGAACAUUAUUUUUAUUGAAUCAACAGGUUUUGAAUCUAGGUAUGUUUAGAAUCUGGAGGAGUAUGAGGAGGAUGUGGUGGUAGAGGUGGUGGUAUUGGAGCAGGUUUGAAGGAGGAUUUUGAAGUCAGUGGUGGUGUUUUUCAGAAUUGAUGAAUUGAAGGAGAUGAUGAGAAGAUAAAGGAUGAACUAUUUUAAGUUUCUACUACUGGUGCUAGUGGUGACAGUUACUAAGAAGGCUGACCCCAAGGUGCUGGCUAACAAAGCUUCCAAGGCUGUCAAAGCUGGAGCAUCAACCAUUAAGAAGAAGGCUAAGAAUAUCUGCACAUCAGUCAUAUUUCACAGGCCAAAGACAUUGCAGAAGGCAAGG
Long non-coding RNA from Papaver somniferum (opium poppy), 380 nucleotides. RefSeq lists it as uncharacterized. Lineage: Eukaryota; Viridiplantae; Streptophyta; Magnoliopsida; Ranunculales; Papaveraceae. The transcript is spliced from 3 exons. The record is from RefSeq and is a predicted model, not a curated record.